UGGGGAAUAUUGGACAAUGGACCAAGAGUCUGAUCCAGCAAUUCUGUGUGCACGAUGACGUUUUUCGGAAUGUAAAGUGCUUUCAGUUGGGAAGAAAAAAAUGACGGUACCAACAGAAGAAGUGACGGCUAAAUACGUGCCAGCAGCCGCGGUAAUACGUAUGUCACAAGCGUUAUCCGGAUUUAUUGGGCGUAAAGCGCGUCUAGGUGGUUAUGUAAGUCUGAUGUGAAAAUGCAGGGCUCAACUCUGUAUUGCGUUGGAAACUGUGUAACUAGAGUACUGGAGAGGUAAGCGGAACUACAAGUGUAGAGGUGAAAUUCGUAGAUAUUUGUAGGAAUGCCGAUGGGGAAGCCAGCUUACUGGACAGAUACUGACGCUGAAGCGCGAAAGCGUGGGUAGCAAACA
Molecule: ribosomal RNA, 405 nt
Filed under: uncultured Fusobacterium sp.
Lineage: Bacteria; Fusobacteriati; Fusobacteriota; Fusobacteriia; Fusobacteriales; Fusobacteriaceae
Description: bacterial SSU rRNA
Rfam family: Bacterial small subunit ribosomal RNA
Source: RNAcentral